AAGAUCUGCCUUCACCUGAAGGAGGACCAACUUGAGUACCUUGAAGAGCGCAGGCUCAAGGAUUUGAUCAAGAAGCACUCCGAGUUCAUCAGCUACCCUAUUUCAUUGUGGAUUGAGAAGACCACUGAGAAGGAGAUCUCUGAUGAUGAGGAUGAAGAAGAAAAGAAGGAAGAGGAAGGAAAGGUGGAGGAAGUUGAUGAAGAGAAGGAAAAGGAGGAGAAGAAAAAGAAGAAAAUUCAGGAGAUUUCUCACGAAUGGUCUUUGGUGAACAAGCAAAAGCCUAUCUGGAUGAGGAAGCCAGAAGAGAUCAACAAGGAAGAGUACUCAGCAUUCUACAAGAGUCUUACCAAUGACUGGGAAGAGCACCUUUCUGUCAAGCACUUCUCAGUUGAGGGUCAGCUGGAAUUCAAGGCCAUCCUCUUUGUUCCCAAGAGG
This 435-nucleotide long non-coding RNA is filed under the name Fragaria vesca (wild strawberry). RNAcentral describes it as "long non-coding RNA (FVES_LNC001517)". The record is from RNAcentral. Lineage: Eukaryota; Viridiplantae; Streptophyta; Magnoliopsida; Rosales; Rosaceae.